Molecule: ribosomal RNA, 211 nt
Filed under: uncultured bacterium
Lineage: Bacteria
Description: partial 16S ribosomal RNA
Rfam family: Bacterial small subunit ribosomal RNA
Source: RNAcentral
GACGAACGCUGGCGGCGUGCUUAACACAUGCAAGUCGAGCGGUAAGGCCCUUUCGGGGGUACACGAGCGGCGAACGGGUGAGUAACACGUGGGUGACCUGCCCUCAGCUCUGGGAUAAGCCUGGGAAACCGGGUCGUAAUACUGGAUAUGACUCCAUGACGCAUGUUGUGGGGUGAAAGCCUUGUGCGGCUGAGGAUGGGCCCGCGGCCUA